Mauremys reevesii (Reeves's turtle) is the source of this 809-nucleotide long non-coding RNA. RefSeq lists it as uncharacterized. The record is from RefSeq and is a predicted model, not a curated record. The transcript is spliced from 2 exons. Lineage: Eukaryota; Metazoa; Chordata; Testudines; Geoemydidae.
AAUUGGAUCUCCCUCCGCUAAAAAGAAAGAGCUGGGCUGGCCAAGGGACCCUGGGCUGCAAAGAGGCUGCUUUCUUUCAGACCCCUCAGCCUCACCUGCAACUUUCAAAGCUUCGAGCCCGAGGGAAGCCAAACACGAGCCGCCUUCCCUUUCGCUACACAACAAGCGCUUGACAUUUUAACUCACGUCUGCGAGCCGGCUGGAAGCUUUCUGUUUUAAUACCCAGCCAGAGAAAAGGCUCGGGGACCGCAACAACAACAACAAAAAAGGCCUGUUGGAUUUUUCCCGUUUCCCUCCAGGAUAUUGUAGCUAAACCACCCGUUCUGGAGCGCAGCUCUGCAGUAUUCAGGCAGCGCAAAACGCCACGGAAGGCCUUGGACUGUUAAAGGUGUCAUACAUUGUGUCUUCUGGGGAAAGAGUUUCGUUGCUGUCUGGAGGCAGCAGAAAUCUAUUAGCUGCGGCAGAGCAUAAGUGCACCCCGGGUACCAGAGUUAAGCGUUUCCACGCCGCAUUGCUUUAUUUGUUCAAAAAGAGGAUUGAUUUUCCUUCUUUUAGUGACACCGGACUUCCCCGGACAGGGCAGGGUUCCAGCUUGCACUGGGAAAAGCGUAAUCGAUACCCAGCAAGCUUAUUGGUAGAUCUGAAGAAGGAUCAAGCCCUGGGAUAAAAAUAGAACAUGAUGUGGUUUAGCCAGGAGCGGGACAGAUACUACCUGCCUGUGGCCAACUGGCUCUGCAGUGAAGACAAACUAAUCGCAGAAGUUUCUCUCCUUUCCUGUGCCACUAGCAGAGCAGCGAUUUCUAGAGAUU